GCGUCUGCGGCAGAGUCAGUACGCGGCCGCUGCGCUGCGGGAAGAGGUGGAGGCGGCGCCCGGCGUGCCCCCUCCUUUUCGGGAGGGAUGGUUCGCCCCGCGGGAGGCACGCCGGGAGCGGCACGGCGUCCGCGGCUGCUGAGGGAGCUGCGGUGUGAGGGUGUUAUUAUUGGUGCUGCUUGUCUUCGAAAUCGGGCACUUAUCUCUAAUUCCUGGUGUGUUUUGCUGGAAGUUUGGGAUCUCUCUGUGUGGUGAAGGCCUCUGAGCUUGAGAAAGGCAUGUGGGAAGAGGCUGCCAAGUGCUGAUUGCAGAGCUGAGAAAAUACAACUAAUCUUCAGUGAAGUGAUGAAACUCCUCCAGGGUGGCCAUAAUGCUCUUGAAAGUAAUAACAUCUGAAAGUUUCAUCAACGAAAUGUGAGAAUCUGCUUGAGCAACACAGAUGCAAUGAAUCCGUUACCCCUUCUGCUGGUAGGAAGUGAGCCUGUGAAAUCCAUCCACACCUGCUGCACCCCAGGCACUGUGGGUAAGGAAGAAUUGCUAGAACUAGCCUGAGAGCAGUGCCCCUCUAUUGAAACACUCCUGCCUAAGAAACAAAAAAACUGUUUAAAAGAUGGACUACUAAGCCUCCAUGUAACAAUACAAAGUGCAUUUAACUGCAUUGUGUCAGUGUCUGGUAAUGUUUAUAUAGACAAAAAAAAUAAAGAUCUAUGUUUCUCUUCUCAGAA
Melospiza melodia melodia is the source of this 725-nucleotide long non-coding RNA. RefSeq lists it as uncharacterized. The transcript has 4 exons. The record is from RefSeq and is a predicted model, not a curated record. Lineage: Eukaryota; Metazoa; Chordata; Aves; Passeriformes; Passerellidae.